GUCCACGCCCUAAACGAUGCCUGCUAGGUGUUUCGAGUAUCGACCCUCGGAGUGCCGUAGUUAACGCGUUAAGCAGGCCGCCUGGGAAGUACGAGCGCAAGCUUAAAACUCAAAGGAAUAGACGGGGACUCGCACAAGCGGUGGAACAUGAGGUUCAAUUCGAUGACAAGCGAGGAACCUUACCAGGGUUUGAAAUGCUUAUUGACCGCCGAUGGAAACAUUGGCUUUCCCUUAAAAGACAAUAAGCACAGGUGCUGCAUGGUUGUCGU
This 269-nucleotide ribosomal RNA is filed under the name uncultured bacterium. RNAcentral's name for it is "partial 16S ribosomal RNA". It matches the Rfam family "Bacterial small subunit ribosomal RNA", at positions 793 to 1055 of the family's 1533-position model. The record is from RNAcentral.